AAGUCGUAACAAGGUUUCCGUAGGUGAACCUGCGGAAGGAUCAUUAAUGAAAUGACAGGGCGCUCUCUUUAGAGGUCCGACCCAUUCUCAUUUUCCUUACCCUGUGCACACACUAUUUUUUACACCCACUUUUAAACACUAUUAGUAUUAAGAAUGUCAUUAGUCUCUUAAUUGAGCAUAAAAGUUAAUAAAACUUUCGGCAACGGAUCUCUUGGCUCCCGCAUCGAUGAAGAACGCAGCGAAAUGCGAUACGUAAUGUGAAUUGCAGAAUUCAGUGAAUCAUCGAAUCUUUGAACGCACCUUGCACUCUUUGGUAUUCCGAAGAGUAUGUCUGUUUGAGUGUCGUGAAACUCUCAACCCCCCUGUUUUGUAAUGAGACAGGCGUCUGGGCUUGGAUUAUGGCUGUCUGUCGGUUCUAAUCGGACCGGCUCAGCUGAAAUACACGAGCUGCCCACUUUGAAAAUCGACGGUUUGAUUCGGCGUAAUAAUACGUUUCGCUGAGGACGUCACCUUUCGAUAUAGAGGCGCUUCUAGUGCAACUUUCAUUUGACCUUUUUGACCUCAAAUCAGUCAGGACUACCCGCUGAACUUAA
RNAcentral lists this ribosomal RNA (593 nucleotides) under uncultured fungus. RNAcentral's name for it is "eukaryotic LSU rRNA". The stretch from base 192 to 345 matches the Rfam family "5.8S ribosomal RNA". Lineage: Eukaryota; Fungi. The record is from RNAcentral.